This 494-nucleotide ribosomal RNA is filed under the name uncultured bacterium. Its description in RNAcentral is "partial 16S ribosomal RNA". It matches the Rfam family "Bacterial small subunit ribosomal RNA", at positions 28 to 507 of the family's 1533-position model. The record is from RNAcentral.
GACGAACGCUGGCGGCGUGCUUAACACAUGCAAGUCGAACGGAAAGGCCUGCUUUCCCUUGUGGAUUGCGGGUACUCGAGUGGCGAACGGGUGAGUAACACGUGAGUGAUCUGCCCCCAACUUGGGUAUAAGCCUGGGAAACUGGGUCUAAUUCCCGAUAGGACUGCAGGGUGGUGCCUGUGGUGGAAAACGAUUUUCUAGUGGUUGGGGAUGAGCUCGCGGCCUAUCAGCUUGUUGGUGGGGUAAUGGCCUACCAAGGCGGCGACGGGUAGCCGGCCUGAGAGGGGGGACGGCCACAUUGGGACUGAGAUACGGCCCAGACUCCUACGGGAGGCAGCAGUGGGGAAUAUUGCACAAUGGGCGGAAGCCUGAUGCAGCGACGCCGCGUGGGGGAUGACGGCCUUCGGGUUGUAAACUCCUUUCGACCGCGAGGAAGCCACCUGGUUGGAAGGGUGGUGACGGUAGUGGUAGAAGAAGCACCGGCUGACUACGUG